CACCUCCUCUCCUCCCUCCGUGGCUGAAAGCAAGAGUAGCAGAUAAGCAGACAGCCAGAGACCCACUAAUCCUCCCACAGUAGAGACAUUUCAGAUGAGAAUCAGGCUAAAUGGACAGAAAACAGGGGUGAGAGGAUGAAAGAAGAAGCUACCAGGGAAGGAAAGAUAGGCGAGCGGAAAAAGUCAAGUAAGAAUGAGCAAAAUGGUGGAGACAAAAGAGGGAUUCUCAUUUUGCGUGCUGUGAAGUGACAGCUAAGAGUCAUUUUUAUUUUCACUCAUUGAGAUAAUGUUUCGCUUUUUUGAACAUUUUUUCUAUAAAUAUUGCUAUUUGCAAGCCGAGCCCUCCACUCAUUUCUUCUUAUCAGCCCUCAAUCAUUCCCGCAGUCCUCUCUCUCUCUCUCUCUCCCUCUCUCUCUCUCUCCACCCCCCACCCCCUCAUCAUCCCUUUUUCAUUCCCUCCUCUUCAUCUCUCUUCCAGUCAGACAGAGCCUGAUGUAGGUCAGUGCGUCUGGUGCCUGUCUGGAGCUGCAGAGAGCCUGAGAGCUCCGUGCCUGGUCCUUGUCGACCCCUGCAGCGGCUGCCCAAGCUGAGGACAACGCUCCCUGGGCUACAUGAGGACAGAACCAGCCGGACUGACCUGACUUGCCUUGAAGUGGAGGAUGUCCCUGCAACUGUGAUGUAGAAGAUGAGGGAGGAGGGGGAUGCAGGGUGAUGUUGGGUGACUGUGCAAAGGAUUAGUUAGUGCAUGAUUUAUGCCAGUGGAUUUUAAAUGUUAAUGGGUAAGAAGACUGGAAGAGGAAGAGCCGAAAGUAACAAAUGCAUGGGAUUGGUGUCACAGUUUUGUUGUUUUUUCUUGCUGAUAUGAAGCAUUUGAAAGGAAUCUCUUAAAAGCGGGACAUUUUCAUGCAAGUCUGCCUUUGUAUCCCCCGUCUACAAACAACCUCUCUACACUUUGUCCACCUUUUUUUUUCUCCUCUCUGCCGAACUUCAUCACACUUUAUUUCUCUUCCCCAGCCCUGAAUCCUGCAUGUCUGUAGUCAUCGGUAAUUCUGAAAAAGAAAGUGAACACGAAACUCCAAUGCGACAUCAUCCUAGAAAAACAAAAAGAAGCCUAACCCAAAAACAUGUUUUCUCUUUUCUAUUGCAGUAUAUCCAUUGCCGCACUGCUCCAUAUGGAUCCGGAUCAAAAUGUUGGGUGUCGAAGGUCCCUUUCCUCCAUCAUGUCCAAUUUCCUAUUGAUGAAACUAAAGACCACAAAGACGACAAGGACAUCCAUUUUUGCAAAAAGGCAAAAAGCUCUGAAGACUGUUCCAUCUCCCAUUUCUGCUGUCCGUUCCUCCUCCUUCUCAUCUGCUCUCCUUCUUCAGUCUCUCACACUCCUUUGGCUUGUAGAAGAUGCCCCCGAAAACGAUUGUUGUAUCAGAGAGCCUAAAUGUGCACUUGUGUGUGUGUGUGUGUGUGUGUAUAUAUCAGUGUUGAUGAACAAGUUAGGUGUGUGUGACUGUAUACAGGUAUGCGUAGUGUGACUGUGUGUGCAGGAGUAUGUGUGUGGCUCUUGAUCCGACUCUGCAGCACAUCUGGUUCCUCCAGCGGUAAACCGGUUCUCAGCUGUUGGUGUCUGGCUUUGAGUUUGUGUGAAUGUGUGUUUGCUUUUUAGAGUUUGGGCUGCAUCACUGUGACACAGCAAUCAUAUGACCUGCUUCGUCAUCACUAUGCAGAUCUAAGAAUGUUAGAAUUUUCUGGGGUGUGGUGAAGCCGGGAGGGUCACACCUCCAUCUCAUCUGACCUCCAUCACUUUUUACCAACACGAGUAAAAAGUGAUUACAAAGUGAGCCCCAAAACCCCCUUCAUUCCUUUAAAACUCAACUUUACUUUUCCAUCUGAUUUGUAACUCUUAAACCUCCUCUUUGUCCAUAUUCUGUCAUUCAGAUAAUGUCUUAUUUUGUCAUUGCAGUCAUGCGACACUCAUCACUUUCUUUUCUCUUCAUGUCCAUCUGAGAGGUGGUUUACAACAAGUGGAGGUCAAAUGACCAUUAAGAGUGUAUUUAUGGACUAAACACAGUAUCAUCUAAACCUUUGCAAUAAACUGGAAACAAUGAUAACUCAUUUCAACAUGCAAUUACUCAAACUACAAAAACUUAGGAGUAAAAGCUGAGGCAGCAGCUCCACUUCUCCUUGUGUUUGCCCUUGUCCUUAUUUUUUGUCUUUCUCUCCUCAGUGCAGGUGUCUGUGUCCCCCAGUUGCCUCCUUGUUACCUGGUCAAGCCUCUCCACUCCCUCCUCCUUGCUGCACACCUGCCUCCUAUCAGCCUGCAGUGUCAAAGAACACAGGACUAUAAUCUGCCAGAUUAUCCUACUACCAGCAGUGGUAGAGUCUGCCUUUUGGAUUUUUUUUUCUGGCACUCCAUAAUUGAAGAUUUUCUGUUAGAUUAAGUCAGUUUCCUUUACCUAGUGCUUUGCCUGCCUGUCACCACCUUCUCUGACAGCUCCCUCAAUUAAAGCUCCCCUUGUUGGACAAUAAAUCGUGUGAGUCCA
RNAcentral lists this long non-coding RNA (2534 nucleotides) under Xyrichtys novacula (pearly razorfish). The record is from RNAcentral. Lineage: Eukaryota; Metazoa; Chordata; Actinopteri; Labriformes; Labridae.